This 785-nucleotide ribosomal RNA is filed under the name Mecolaesthus sp. Ven02/80-12. Its description in RNAcentral is "partial 28S ribosomal RNA". It matches the Rfam family "Eukaryotic large subunit ribosomal RNA", at positions 354 to 915 of the family's 3401-position model. Lineage: Eukaryota; Metazoa; Arthropoda; Arachnida; Araneae; Pholcidae. The record is from RNAcentral.
UGAGGGAAAGUUGCAAAGAACUUUGAAGAGAGAGUUCAAGAGUACGUGAAACUGCUCAGAGGCAAACGGGUGGGCCCUCGAAAUCCCACUGCGGAGAGAUUCAGUCCUCUGGAGGGGCGGAGGUCGGACCCUUCGAGGCGGACACCGCUUCACGCUGACGCACUUUUCUCCGCACCGAGGACGCCGCAACGGAUCGGGUAGCAGCGAGAGUCGGCCUGAGGCGUACCCUGGCAGGUGGCCCUUUCGUACGAUUGUACGAGCGGGUUAUUCACGGGUUCGUCCGUGGCACGACACCCGAUCGAGGUUAACGUUCCCCUUACGGGGAACCGAUCGUCUCCGUCUUUAGGACGCGGUGCAUCGGGCCAGUGAGCGCCCGCGACUUCGAACCACUCUAGUAGUGGCCGUCGCGCGGGUUUGCCGCCGUUGGGUCCGAGCAAGACCGCGUGGAGACGUGCGGUCAGCGGCGAGUAGGUCGGUCACCCACCCGACCCGUCUUGAAACACGGACCAAGGAGUCUAACAUGUGCGCGAGUCGCAGGGUCUUGACAAGGCCUUUGGGCGCAAUGAAAGUGAAGGUCUUCCACGGAGGCCGAGUUGGGACACCCCUAAUUAUUUUAGGGGUAGCACCAACGACCCGUCCGAACAGGUCCGCCUGUUGGGCGGAGUCCGAGCGUACACGUUGGGACCCGAAAGAUGGUGAACUAUGCCUGGGCAGAACGAAGCCAGAGGAAACUCUGGUGGAGGUUCGCAGCGGUUCUGACGUGCAAAUCGAUCGUCAGACCCGGG